RNAcentral lists this ribosomal RNA (831 nucleotides) under Nocardiopsis terrae. RNAcentral describes it as "bacterial SSU rRNA". It matches the Rfam family "Bacterial small subunit ribosomal RNA", at positions 66 to 899 of the family's 1533-position model. The record is from RNAcentral. Lineage: Bacteria; Bacillati; Actinomycetota; Actinomycetes; Streptosporangiales; Nocardiopsidaceae.
GCGGUAAGGCCCUUCGGGGUACACGAGCGGCGAACGGGUGAGUAACACGUGAGCAACCUGCCCCUGACUCCGGGAUAAGCGGUGGAAACGCCGUCUAAUACCGGAUAUGACACACCAUCUCCUGGUGGUGUGUGGAAAGUUUUAUCGGUCAGGGAUGGGCUCGCGGCCUAUCAGCUUGUUGGUGGGGUAAAGGCCUACCAAGGCGAUUACGGGUAGCCGGCCUGAGAGGGCGACCGGCCACACUGGGACUGAGACACGGCCCAGACUCCUGCGGGAGGCAGCAGUGGGGAAUAUUGCACAAUGGGCGAAAGCCUGAUGCAGCGACGCCGCGUGGGGGAUGACGGCCUUCGGGUUGUAAACCUCUUUUACCACCAACGCAGGCCCCGGGUUCUCUCGGGGUUGACGGUAGGUGGGGAAUAAGGACCGGCUAACUACGUGCCAGCAGCCGCGGUAAUACGUAGGGUCCGAGCGUUGUCCGGAAUUAUUGGGCGUAAAGAGCUCGUAGGCGGCGUGUCGCGUCUGCUGUGAAAGACCGGGGCUUAACCCCGGUUCUGCAGUGGAUACGGGCAUGCUAGAGGUAGGUAGGGGAGACUGGAAUUCCUGGUGUAGCGGUGAAAUGCGCAGAUAUCAGGAGGAACACCGGUGGCGAAGGCGGGUCUCUGGGCCUUACCUGACGCUGAGGAGCGAAAGCAUGGGGAGCGAACAGGAUUAGAUACUCUGGUAGUCCAUGCCGUAAACGUUGGGCGCUAGGUGUGGGGACUUUCCACGGUUUCCGCGCCGUAGCUAACGCAUUAAGCGCCCCGCCUGGGGAGUACGGCCGCAAGGCUAAAA